Molecule: ribosomal RNA, 714 nt
Filed under: Unionicolidae sp. HCP-2012
Lineage: Eukaryota; Metazoa; Arthropoda; Arachnida; Trombidiformes; Unionicolidae
Description: SSU rRNA
Rfam family: Eukaryotic small subunit ribosomal RNA
Source: RNAcentral
ACCACAUCCAAGGAAGGCAGCAGGCACGCAAAUUACCCACUCUUUGCUCGAGGAGGUAGUGACGACUAAUACUGAUACGGGACUCUUAGGAGGCCCCGUAAUCGGAAUGAGUUUGAUCUUAAAACUCUAAUAAGGAUCUAUUGGAGGGCAAGUCUGGUGCCAGCCGCCGCGGUAAUUCCAGCUCCAAUAGCGUAUAUUAAAGUUGUUGUGGUUAAAAAGCUCGUAGUUGGAUCUCAGCUCAUGUCAAGCGGACCACUUCGGUGGUUACUGCUUGGCUGAGUUACCUAUGGAUUAGUCUUUUGAUACUCUUAACCGAGUGUCUUAAGCGAUCCAUCUAUUUACUUUGAACAAAUUAGAGUGCUUCAAGCAGGCAUUCGCCCGGAUAAUCAUGCAUGGAAUAAUAGAAUAGGACUUCGGUUCUAUUCUGUUGGUCUUUGGAUCCGAAGUAAUGAUUAAUAGGGACAGACGGGGGCAUUAGUAUUACGGCGCUAGAGGUGAAAUUCUUGGACCGUCGUAAGACUAACAACAGCGAAAGCAUUUGCCAAGAAUGUUUUCAUUAAUCAAGAACGAAAGUUAGAGGUUCGAAGGCGAUCAGAUACCGCCCUAGUUCUAACCAUAAACGAUGCUAACCAGCGAUCAGUCUGAGUACUAUCAAGGACUCGACUGGAAGCUUCCUCGGGAAACCAAAGUUUUUGGGUUCCAGGGGAAGUAUGG